This 1282-nucleotide ribosomal RNA is filed under the name Cryptolaemus montrouzieri. RNAcentral describes it as "16S ribosomal RNA". The stretch from base 1041 to 1199 matches the Rfam family "Archaeal large subunit ribosomal RNA", at positions 2542 to 2701 of the family's 2987-position model. The record is from RNAcentral. Lineage: Eukaryota; Metazoa; Arthropoda; Insecta; Coleoptera; Coccinellidae.
AUUUAAUAUAUUAUUAAUUUAAAAUGUUUUUAAAAAUUUAAUUAAAAUAAUUUUUUUAUUAUUGAAAUAGAACAAAUUUAAUUUAUGAUAGAUAAUAGUAUUGUGAGAGAAAUACUUUUAAAUUUUAUAAAGAAAAUAAUUUGUUUUACCUUGUGUAUCAGGGUUUAUUAAAUAAUAUUAAUUUAUAUUAAUAUCUCGAAUUUAAAAGAGCUAAUUUUAAAUAAAUUUUAUUGUUUCAUAAAUUUUAAAAUUUAAAAUUAGAAAUGAAAUGUUAUUCGUUUUUAAAUAUAUCUAGUUUUUUUAGAAAAAAAUUAAAUUUUAUUAUUUUUUUUUAAUCUAGAUAAUUUUUUAUUAUAUUAAAAUAAAUAUUAAAUAAUUUAAGGGAUAAGCUUUAAAUUAAAAUAUUAAAAUUAAAGAAAUUUGUGUUUUAAAAUUGUAGAAUUGAAAAUUUUUACCUUUAAAAGUUUUUUAUAAUUUAUUAAAAUUGAACUAUAAUUUUUAUUUAAUUUAAAUUUUUUAUAAAAAUAAAUAAAUAAUUAAUAUUUUUAUUUAAAUAAUGAUAAAAUUAGUAUAUUUUUAAAUGUUAAAAAAAAUUUAAAAUUAUAAAUUAAUUUUAAGGAAUUCGGCAAAAAAUUUUUCACCUGUUUAUUAAAAACAUCUCUUUUUGAUAAUAAUUUAAAGUAGGGCCUGCCCACUGAAAAUUUGAAGGGCCGCAGUAUUCUGACUGUGCAAAGGUAGCAUAAUCAUUAGUUUUUUAAUUGAAAGCUGGAAUGAAUGGUUUGAUGAGAAAAUAGCUGUCUCAAUUUUAAUUAAUAGAACUUUAUUUUUAAGUUAAAAAGCUUAAAUUUCUUUAAAAGACGAGAAGACCCUAUAGAGUUUUAUUUAUAAUUUUAAAUAAUUUUAAAGAAUUUAAUAAGAAAUUUAUUUUUAUAAAUUUGGUUGGGGUGACUAAAAAAUUAAAUAAACUUUUUUUUAUAUGUUCCAUUUAUUUAUGAUUAUUUGAUCCAAGCAAUUUGAUUAUAAGAUUAAAUUACCUUAGGGAUAACAGCGUAAUUUUUUUUGAGAGUUCAUAUCGAAAAAAAAGAUUGCGACCUCGAUGUUGGAUUAAAAUUAAUUUUUGGUGUAGAAGCUAAAAUAUUAGGUCUGUUCGACCUUUAAAAUUUUACAUGAUCUGAGUUUAAACCGGUGUAAGCCAGGUUGGUUUCUAUCUUUAAAUAAAAUAUUAUAUUUUAGUACGAAAGGACCAAAUAUAAAAUUUAAAAUUUUUAUUUUGAAUAAAAUU